GAUGAAGAACGUAGCGAAAUGCGAUACGUAAUGUGAAUUGCAGAAUUCAGUGAAUCAUCGAAUCUUUGAACGCAUAUUGCGCUCUCUGGUAUUCCGGAGAGCAUGCUUGUUUGAGUAUCAGUAAACACCUCAACUUCCAUAUCUUUUUUGAAAUGGGAGUUGGACUUGAGUGAUCCCAACGCUUUUCCUCACCGAAAAGUGGCGGGUUGCUUGAAAUGCAGGUGCAGCUGGACUUUUCUCUGAGCUAUAAGCAUAUCUAUUUAGUCUGCCUAAAAACAGAUUAUUACCUUUGCUGCAGCUAACAUAAAGGAGAUUAGUUCUUGUGCUGACUGAUGCAGGAUUCACAAAGACAGGCUUCGGCCGACUUUGUAAACUCGAUCUCAAAUCAAGUAAGACUACCCGCUGAACUUAAGCAUAUCAAUAAGCGGAGGA
This 432-nucleotide unclassified non-coding RNA is filed under the name soil metagenome. RNAcentral describes it as "partial contains 5.8S ribosomal RNA, internal transcribed spacer 2, and large subunit ribosomal RNA". The stretch from base 1 to 120 matches the Rfam family "5.8S ribosomal RNA", at positions 35 to 154 of the family's 154-position model. The record is from RNAcentral.